This 45-nucleotide non-coding RNA is filed under the name Schistosoma curassoni. The record is from RNAcentral. Lineage: Eukaryota; Metazoa; Platyhelminthes; Trematoda; Strigeidida; Schistosomatidae.
CUCCAAUUGAAGAGUCCGAAAUAGGACAAAACGCGAUUCCUGUAU